Molecule: ribosomal RNA, 484 nt
Filed under: uncultured bacterium
Lineage: Bacteria
Description: partial 16S ribosomal RNA
Rfam family: Bacterial small subunit ribosomal RNA
Source: RNAcentral
AUUGAACGCUGGCGGCAGGCCUAACACAUGCAAGUCGAGCGGAUGAAGGGAGCUUGCUCCUGGAUUCAGCGGCGGACGGGUGAGUAAUGCCUAGGAAUCUGCCUGGUAGUGGGGGAUAACGUCCGGAAACGGGCGCUAAUACCGCAUACGUCCUGAGGGAGAAAGUGGGGGGUCUUCGGACCUCACGCUAUCAGAUGAGCCUAGGUCGGAUUAGCUAGUUGGUGGGGUAAAGGCCUACCAAGGCGACGAUCCGUAACUGGCCUGAGAGGAUGAUCAGUCACACUGGAACUGAGACACGGUCCAGACUCCUACGGGAGGCAGCAGUGGGGAAUAUUGGACAAUGGGCGAAAGCCUGAUCCAGCCAUGUCGCGUGUGUGAAGAAGGUCUUCGGAUUGUAAAGCACUUUAAGUUGGGAGGAAGGGCAGUAAGUUAAUACCUUGCUGUUUUGACGUUACCAACAGAAUAAGCACCGGCUAACUUCGUG